UACGGAGGGUACAAGCGUUAUCCGGAUUUACUGGGCGUAAAGCGUUUCGUAGGCGACUUCUUAAGUUAUUCUUCAAAGCCCGGGGCUCAACCCCGGAUCGGGGAGUAAUACUGAGAGGAUUGAAAUAUUUCGGGGCAACUGGAACUAUUGGUGUAGGGGUGAAAUCCGUUGAUAUCAAUAGGAACUCCAAGGGCGAAGGCAGGUUGCUAGGAAUCAUUUGACGCUGAGGAACGACAGCUAGGGGAGCGAAAGGG
Molecule: ribosomal RNA, 254 nt
Filed under: uncultured bacterium
Lineage: Bacteria
Description: partial 16S ribosomal RNA
Rfam family: Bacterial small subunit ribosomal RNA
Source: RNAcentral